RNAcentral lists this ribosomal RNA (172 nucleotides) under uncultured bacterium. Its description in RNAcentral is "partial 16S ribosomal RNA". It matches the Rfam family "Bacterial small subunit ribosomal RNA", at positions 338 to 524 of the family's 1533-position model. The record is from RNAcentral.
CCUACGGGAGGCAGCAGCCGCGGUAAUAUUGCACAAUGGACGAAAGUCUGAUGCAGCAACGCCGCGUGCGCGAUGAAGGCCUUCGGGUCGUAAAGCGCUUUUCGGGUGGAUGAGAAGGGACAGUACACCCGGAAUCAGGAACGGCUAACUACGUGCCAGCAGCCGCGGUAAU